GUCCAAGGUUGUGUAGAAGAGGCUCACGAGGGUCCGACUUGGUCUCGAUUGAAAGAACUUCAAGAGUUGAAAUUUUUCAACAAGAGCAACCAGAGGUAUUCACCCUUGGUCAGUCACUUACAGAAUGAUCAAACUUCUGGUCUGGGAGUCCACAGUGGGCGGAGCUGCCCGAUUUAUCCAACCGUGGCUGAAUCGUCCAACUGUCUGUGGCUGUUUUAUCCCAACCGUCGUCCAUGCCCCCCCGAGAGCAAGCUUGGACCCCCUGUGCCUCCCCUCAAAAGGAAGAGGCUACGUCAUUAAUAAAUAUAUAGAUUUUUUGCGAUAAUUUGACCCUAACGAGAGAUGCGGAACCAAAGUUUGGCUCAAGUUUCCAGUUGGAUCCUAUAGAGCGAUACACCGCCAGUGGCAGGCUGAAGCCGGCUGAAGCAGAUUUCUAACCGCCUGCUCGGAGCGAAAGAAAACGCAGCCAGACUAGAGGAGAAUUAACGAUAUCUGCAAGACCAGGGAGGACCCUCCAAUGCAGCCAAACCUGAAAAUCUUUCCACGGACCUUGACGGGGGACCGUAGGAGAAGUUUUAAGGCGGCGUGUCAAUCGGUAUCUGCAUAUUGUUAUGCUUGCAGACAUUUUAGCCAACCUAAAACCACAGACACUGUAUUUGAUGCACCAUCUGGAUACAAGAAGUGGAAGAAGGCAACGUACAGUUUUUCAAUCCAUGCCAAGUCUGAGAGGCACAAACAAGCAUGGAGGGACUAUCAAAGAAGUGUAACUACUAAUGCAACACUGGCAAAUGCCCUGAACAAGGACAAUAGGAGAAGUGCUACUACUUACUGCCACUCAGAACAUUGCUCAGAGAGGACACAACGAAUCUGCUGCCUCAGAUAAUGAAGGGAACUUUAUGGCAAUUCUAGAAACAAUUGCUAACCAUGACAACACUGUGAAGUAAAGGUUGACAUCUAUUCAUAAAGUAAAGUACACAAGUAAAAUCAUUCAGAAUGAGAUUCUGGGUUGCCUGGCAGACAUGGUUCAACAUGAAAUUACAGAAGAAGUAAAAAGCAGUGGAGUCUUUAGCAUCAUAGCAGACGAAACAAAAGAUGUAAAAGAAAAAAAAGAGCAAAUUUCAGUAGUACUCAGAUACUAUUACAAUGGAGCAAUUAAUGAAAGUUUUCUCCAUUUUGAAUCUGCUGAGAGACUAGAUGCAGACAGGCUUAGUGAGAAAAUAAUCCACAUAUUGGAGAGUCAUGGUCUAGAAUACAAAAACAAUCUUGAUGGCCAGGCAUGCGAUAGUGCUGCUCAAAAUAUGCCUUUUACAUCCAUUGCAAUGCCCACUGUCUUGAUUUAGUUUUAGUAGAUACAGUCAAAGCUGUCCCAGAGGCAGAGGAAUUCUUCUCAUUGCUAGAAAAACUGUAUGUGUUCACUUUUGGAUCAUAUGUCCAACCCAAAUGGCUAGCGAUACAAAAAGACAUGUAUGAAGCUGCACCAAGAGAGCUACAGCAAAUGAGUGACACACAAUGGGCGUGACAAUUUAUAUCGCUGCGAAGCAUUGUGGAUAGAUUACCUGCCCUUAAGUGAGUGGUGCAAGAGAUAGCUCAAGAUCACAAAGGUGAAAGAUCUAUUGAGGCCCGAGGUCAACUGGCACAGAUAGACUUUGCUUUCAUAGUGCAUCCUGUGAUCCUCUGUAAAGUGUUUGGUGAAACAAAACUGUUGUCUGACAUGCCACAGUCAUCAUCACUUGAUAUUUCAAGAGCUGUUGAUUUGGUUAAUGCUUUGGUUCAGACAUUGAAUGACUUCAGGCAGAAGUCAUUUUUUGAUAACUUGUGGAAUGAAGUGUUGAACAUUCCUGAGCAAUGUGAUUGUGCAGUACAAGCAGCAACAAAACAUCCAAAAAAGCUAAGCUGUAAACUUGGUGAAUAUUGUGUUCUGACUAGUGUUGGUCAGAGAGAGUCAGAACAAGAUAAAGACUGUUUUUGGACAGCCUUUUUAUUACCCUGUCAUUGAUCAAAUGCUCAAUGAGCUCAACAAACGAUUUUUAAAGACAAGCUGUGACAUUAUGAAUAGCAUCCAAGCUCUAAAUCCCCAAAGUGAUUCAUUUCUGAAUGAGACAACGCUGUUUUCAUUUGCUCGAUUGUAUGAUUCAAAUGUUGAUGACUUGGGGCACGAACUGCAUCAGUUUGGUCGCAUUUUAGAAAGGAAAUUACAGACGGGGAUGCAAAGACCCUCUACUGUAGUGGAUCUGACACUGUUUAUUGAGCUGUAUCAAGAAGCAUUUUUUGAGCUCUUCAGACUCUGCAAAAAAGCAGUUGCAAUCCCAGUGAGUACUGUGUCUUGUGAGCGGGUUAGGGUUAGGGUUAGUUUUUCUACCCUAAAGCUGGUGAAAACCUUCCUUGGGUCAAAAAUAACUGAUGGGAGAUAAAGCAAUCUGGGUGUACUAAGUAUUGAGUCUAGGAGGGCAAAGGCUUUGAAUCUUGACCUAUUUUUUGAUCGGUUUGCCAAAAAUCACAUAAUCCGCAGAAUACAGCUACUGUAAUAUGGAAUUUUUCGAACAUACAGACUGGGAUACAGAGUCCCACUUUUACAGUGGAGCUGGUACUCAUAUUGUCACUGAAACAGGUAACAUUCUCUGAGAGACUGAAAUAUUUUCAGCAAAGUAGAGUUAUAUUUUUUUAAAUAUUGUUACUGAAAAAAAUAUUGUAUCUGAAACAAGUAACUGUAACUGAGUUGAUUUAAAUUCUGCAGUAAAACUUUGAAAUACUCGAAGGCAGUCUUUGUCUUUUUUUUUUUUUCUCACAGAGAAUGUGCCUCUCUGACAAAGCAACUGGCCCCAGCCUGCCCCCCUCUGAAGCUGGUCUAGAACCACCAGUGAAAGAUCUUCAAGAGUUGAACAUUUUCAACAAGAGUAACAGGAGAUGUUCACCCUAGCUCAGUCACUUACAGAAUGAUAAAGGUUUAGGUCUGGGAGUCUAGAGUGGGCGGAGCGUCCCUGUUUAUCCUACCGGCCAUGGCUGAUUCAUCUGAUCAUGUCUGACUGUAGCAGCCUAGACGGCGAGAGUUAACGGUUUAUUGAGCCAUAUCAAGAAGUAUUUUUUCUUUCUCAUAUUGUCACUGACACAGGUAACAUUCUCUGAGAGAUUGAAAUAUUUUCAGCAAAGUAGAGUUAUAUUUUUUAAAUAAUGUUACUGAAAAACAUAUUGUAUCUGAAGCAAGUGACUGUAACUGAGUUGAUUUAAAUUCUGCAGUAAAACUCUGAAAUACU
Molecule: long non-coding RNA, 3251 nt
Organism: Epinephelus moara (kelp grouper)
Lineage: Eukaryota; Metazoa; Chordata; Actinopteri; Perciformes; Serranidae
Exons: 2
Source: RefSeq, a predicted model, not a curated record